UUGAAUGCUGGCGGCAUGCCUUACACAUGCAAGUCGAACGGUAGAGGGGCAACCCUUGAGAGUGGCGAACGGGUGAGUAAUGCAUCGGAACGUGCCCAGUCGUGGGGGAUAACGCAGCGAAAGCUGUGCUAAUACCGCAUGUGAUCUGUGGAUGAAAGCAGGGGACCGCAAGGCCUUGUGCGAUUGGAGCGGCCGAUGUCAGAUUAGCUAGUUGGUAGGGUAAAAGCCUACC
RNAcentral lists this ribosomal RNA (232 nucleotides) under uncultured bacterium. RNAcentral's name for it is "partial 16S ribosomal RNA". It matches the Rfam family "Bacterial small subunit ribosomal RNA", at positions 30 to 269 of the family's 1533-position model. The record is from RNAcentral.